CGAACGGGUGAGUAACACGUGGGCAACCUGCCCAAAANAGGGGGAUAACACUUGGAAACAGGUGCUAAUACCGCAUAACCAUAGUUACCGCAUGGUAACUAUGUAAAAGGUGGCUAUGCUACCGCUUUUGGAUGGGCCCGCGGCGCAUUAGCUAGUUGGUGGGGUAAAGGCUUACCAAGGCAAUGAUGCGUAGCCGAACUGAGAGGUUGAUCGGCCACAUUGGGACUGAGACACGGCCCAAACUCCUACGGAAGGCAGCAG
RNAcentral lists this ribosomal RNA (261 nucleotides) under uncultured bacterium. RNAcentral's name for it is "partial 16S ribosomal RNA". It matches the Rfam family "Bacterial small subunit ribosomal RNA", at positions 99 to 354 of the family's 1533-position model. The record is from RNAcentral.